Magnolia sinica is the source of this 1176-nucleotide long non-coding RNA. RefSeq lists it as uncharacterized. The record is from RefSeq and is a predicted model, not a curated record. The transcript has 2 exons. Lineage: Eukaryota; Viridiplantae; Streptophyta; Magnoliopsida; Magnoliales; Magnoliaceae.
CCAAAGAUCAAGUGGACCAUACCACGGGAAACAGUGGAAAUAAUGGUUUCCACCGUUGAAACCUUGCUAGGCCCCAUAGUGAUGUUUAUUUGUCAUCCAAACUUCUCGUAAGAUCACGCAAACAUGGAUGAAUGGAAAAAACAAAUAUAAGAUUGAUCCAAAACUUCUAUGCCCCAGAGAAAUUUUCAACGGUAGACAUUCAAUUCACACUGUUUCCUGUGGUGUGGUCCAUGUUAUCUUUCUAUAUGCUUCAGUUUUGGGCUAAGGCCCUAAAAUCAUCUGGUAAAAUGCAUGGACGGAUUGGAUAAAAUAUAUAAAUCAUAGUGGACCCCUUACUUACUCAUUAAGCAAUCGCCUCCAACGCGGGAACUUCCAGCGAAAGGAAAUCCACGUCCUCCCUUGCCAUGUCUAUAUAAACUACAUCUUCAUGUAAACGUUUCACACGUUACAAAUCCUUCUAUCUGAAGAAAAUUUCGCAGUUGGGGUCCUCUAGGAAUCAUGAUGGACGGCUUAGAUUUCUCUUCUUUUAAUAUGCGAGGUGUCCUCAUCAUGGUGGGCCUUUUCAUCUUCGUCCAUGCUCUUAUUUAUUUCAUCAUCUCAACCUCAUCAGUCAUCUUCUCUCCUAAGGCUAGAUCAGCCCAUUCGAAGACCAUGCGGCCCACCAGCAUGUGGCAGAUCUUCACCGCUCUUUCCGACUUUCCAGUCGGAAGUGAAUCACAGCCGUUGGAAAACUUAUGAUCAUUGAGUAGGAAUAAUCCAUCCGUUGAUUCCAAGCGUUGUGCGGUCAGUUUGAAAAAUUAGUUAUGUGUCCUGAUUAAGGGUCUGAGUGCAUCUGGGCUAUGUUCAUUAGCUGGGCCACACGUACAGUGACUGUGGAGCGUUGGCCAGUCUAUUUUAACCAUCCAUCUCUCUGUAGACGUGGGUCCCACCUGAUAAGAGGACAGGAUGAUUUUUGGGCAGAGGAACGUAUGUGGUGGGGGCAGCCCAGAUCUUGUGCAAAUCUUGUAUGUCGGCAUAUGUGAUAAGUGUAGUCAGACAAAUUCCUUUUUAUAUUGAUUACUCUUUCGUGUACGUUUUGUAAUAUUGUUAUUCGUUUUAGAUAAGAAAAGGUAUUAGCUACAUCUAAGCCGUUGCUUGCAUUUGGACUGUGAUGCUAUCAGUUAAGCAUCACCUUCG